GUGCACGCUGGCGGUAGGCCUCACCCCUGCAAGUCGCACGGCAGCACAGUAAGAGCUUGCUCUUACGGGUGGCGAGUGGCGGACGGGUGAGGAAUACAUCGGAAUCUACUUUUUCGUGGGGGAUAACGUAGGGAAACUUACGCUAAUACCGCAUACGACCUACGGGUGAAAGCAGGGGAUCUUCGGACCUUGCGCGAUUGAAUGAGCCGAUGUCGGAUUAGCUAGUUGGCGGGGUAAAGGCCCACCAAGGCGACGAUCCGUAGCUGGUCUGAGAGGAUGAUCAGCCACACUGGAACUGAGACACGGCCCAGACUCCUACGGGAGGCAGCAGUGGGGAAUAUUGGACAAUGGGCGCAAGCCUGAUCCAGCCAUACCGCGUGGGUGAAGAAGGCCUUCGGGUUGUAAAGCCCUUUUGUUGGGAAAGAAAAGCAGCAGGUUAAUACCCCGCUGUUCUGACGGUACCCAAAGAAUAAGCACCGGCUAACUUCGUG
This 491-nucleotide ribosomal RNA is filed under the name uncultured bacterium. RNAcentral describes it as "partial 16S ribosomal RNA". It matches the Rfam family "Bacterial small subunit ribosomal RNA", at positions 29 to 507 of the family's 1533-position model. The record is from RNAcentral.